This 261-nucleotide unclassified non-coding RNA is filed under the name Dacrymyces novae-zelandiae. RNAcentral's name for it is "partial internal transcribed spacer 2". The record is from RNAcentral. Lineage: Eukaryota; Fungi; Basidiomycota; Dacrymycetes; Dacrymycetales; Dacrymycetaceae.
CGCACCUUGCGCCUUCUGGUUUACCAGUGGCAUGCCGGUUUGAGCGCCUUUUCAUGCUUGCACCUCUAGCUUUUGUUAGAGACUGCAGAUUUGAGUGUAUUGCCGGCUUGUUCGGCUCGCUCUGAAUGCAUGAGCGACUAGACAGCUCGAAGCAACGUGAUAAGUAUCUUCGUUGUAACGUGCUCGACAGACGCUUCUAAUCGUCUUCGGACAAUUUCUAAGGCUAGGCCUCAAAGUGGUAGGACUACCCGCUGAACUUAA